Molecule: transfer RNA, 77 nt
Filed under: Alectoria fallacina
Lineage: Eukaryota; Fungi; Ascomycota; Lecanoromycetes; Lecanorales; Parmeliaceae
Description: tRNA-His
Source: RNAcentral
GCUUGCGUAUUUUUAAUGGUUACUUAGAAUACUCCGUUGUGGUUGGAUUGGUCUCGGUUCGAUUCUGGGCGCGGGCA